This 552-nucleotide long non-coding RNA is filed under the name Gossypium raimondii (Peruvian cotton). RNAcentral's name for it is "long non-coding RNA (GRAI_LNC005630)". The record is from RNAcentral. Lineage: Eukaryota; Viridiplantae; Streptophyta; Magnoliopsida; Malvales; Malvaceae.
CGACAAUAAUUGACAACGGUGACGAGGUGAAGCGACGGUGGUGUGGUGUGGUGUUUAAAAAGUUAGGGUUUUGUUUUUUUCCUUUUGGAGAAGAUGAAGAAAAAAAGAGGUUUGGGGAUUUUUGGUGUUUUAUUUUUUUAUUUUUUUUCUUGUAGCCGGUUUGAGCCUUCUUGUCCAUUUCUUUUUCUUUUUUUUCUUUGAGCUAGCUACGUCGUUCGACCCAAUUUCCUUUUUUUUUUCUCUUUUUUUUUCUUUUCUCCUCUUGGGCUUGUUUGGGUGUUGGGCUUAUUUUGGGUUUAUUGUGUGGUUUUUCUUCAUUUGGGUUAGUAUUUGGGUAUAGGGUAGGUAGGCUAAGUGGACUUGGGUUUGGGAUUAUUAUUUGGGUUAUAAGUGUGUUAGGUUUUGUUUGCAGGUAAAUAAUUGUCAGCAUUUAACAUGUUAUACCGACGCUACCAUCAUUAUCCCACUUUUAAAAAAUUCACAAUCUCUAUUAUAUUCUUGAAAACAUCAAAUUAACUGGAUUAAAUAAGAAUUUAUUUAUUUAUUUACAAC